Molecule: long non-coding RNA, 257 nt
Organism: Haplochromis burtoni (Burton's mouthbrooder)
Lineage: Eukaryota; Metazoa; Chordata; Actinopteri; Cichliformes; Cichlidae
Exons: 3
Source: RefSeq, a predicted model, not a curated record
GAGGUGCUGAUUUCCUCUGUCUCUGUUCAGGGUCGAUACGGUUGCUGCAGGUUUCUCAGAGAUGGACACAGAACCCCCAAAGAGGAUCCAAACAGACUCUAUUACGAGUCCGCAGAGCUGAAGCUGUUUGAGAACAUCGAGUGCGAGUGGCCUCUGUUCUGGACCUACCUCAUACUGGAUGGCAUCUUUAUCAACAGCCCUGAACAGGUGCAGGAGUACCAGGAGGCUCUGGAGGGAAUCCUGAUCAAACAGAAGGA